GUGAGGUGGCUGGGCUGCAACAUUGAGACCAGAAGCCAGAACCAGGGUGAGGGGGUUGAGGGUGGAGGGGAGUGGCUGGGGGGGGGUGGGGGGCGGGUGGCAACGAUAGACUAAGCUUCCUCUGCCUCGGUGCCCCUCCGCUUCCCAGGAAUUUCAGGAAAAUACCUGCCAUGUGUUCCUGCUCUUCCAACGCCGCCCCAGUCCCCCGCGCCCGCGCCCGGGUGUGGAAUUUGAUGGGCUGAGGGAAGCGCGGCCAAGGCCCACGUGGCUCAGUGCCUGCCAGCAACCUCAGCUUUUCCUUCUGCUCACGGACUGUGCUGCCCAAGGUCUGAGGCGGCACUUCCAUCCCGCGGCCAUUUUCUGAGAGUGUCGCUGUGGGGGAGGGGAAUGCCAGAUGGGGUGGGGCCAAGGGGGCGUGGUGUCUCAAGGAACCUCCUGCAGGGCGGAGGAUAAGGCUCCUUCCAGGAGGGGCCCAGCUCGCCUGGCUUUCUGCAGCGCCCAGGCCCUCAGAUCACAGACGUUUUGAUGAGGCCUCAGUGGCAGUGUAAGUUCAGAUCUUCAGGUAGAUCCCGGUUCUAACUCGUUUAUUUAUUCAUUCAACAAACACUUACUCAACACUUACUGUGUGCCAAGUACUGCCACAAGUAUUGGUAUAAGAAGAUGAAUAUGACACAGUGCCAGCCGCCAAGGAGCUCACCAUCUACCUGGGGAGACAAAUAGGGUACCAUGCACAAGAUAGAAGCAGUCACCAAGUCCAGCAUUGAAAACCAUCCCUCUCAGUGACUGCCUUCCUUUUGGGCCCUGCCGUCUCCAUGGCGUGGGUCAUCAUCCGGGAGGCAGCCGGAGGGAGGUGAGCACGGACUCUGAAGAAGGACGCUCUGGGUGUGCAUUCUGGCUCUGUCACGUGACUUGGACAAGCUAACCUUUCUGUCCCUCAAGUUAUUCUUAUAAAACUAUUGAUGUUACGUCUUACUUUGCAGGGCUAUUAUGAGAAUUAAAUGAAAUAAUAUUUAUAAAAAUGCAGGUGACUAAACAGUGUGGUCCCAAUUGAUUUUAUUUGAUGUGAUGAUCAGUAGAAAAAAGUCUAUAAGGAUGUGUACCAAAAUGUUAACGAUGUUUUUAUAUUGAGGUGAGAUUUAUGGGCUUGUUUUUUUUUUUUAACUUGUAUCUCCCCAAUCAUUUUAUCAAAAUGUCUAGGUGUUAUUCUGACAGAAAUAGAAAGUCCACUUUUCCCCAAGAAUGGCAUUCAUAUAUUCAUAGGCUUUCUCUAUUUAUGAUUUUCAAUAAAGUUUAUGGACAAAACAUUUUUCAAGAAUAUUGUUGAGAAUAAGCUGAAGGUGAUAUCUCAGUUGUUAUUCUGAAAACCCUUUGUCCAUUUUGACCUUUGCGCCCCACUGACGACAUCUACCACAUCCAGAGGUGGUUCAGACGGCAACUGACUCAGUAGGGUGGAUGUGCAGGGUGCUUCAGGAGGAUGGUGAGGGAACACUUAAAGACGCUUGGGUGCGUGUGGUGGGCAUGGGGACGUGCUGUCAAAGUCGAGGGUGGAUUUGUUGCUCUAGGUGCUUGGAGUGUUGUCAGUAAACCGCCUCUAGCAGUCAGCUCCUUAGGGAGCUGCCUUGCCCAAGGUCAGCCAUUUUGGGGGUGGCCCACUUCCAAUGACUGAUCCAGGCAGAGUAUAAAAGCCCAGCGAUUUCGGCCAAUGCAGGAUACCUCUGAGGGGCUAUUUGCUCUGACUGUGGGAUUGGCCAGGCCUGCUGGACCUGUAUUGCAGCCUGUCUUCUCCCAGUGGCCACUCCUGCUUCCUUCCUCCCCCUUUCAGAGGUGUAGGUCCCACGGGCUUUCCCUCUUUAACAUCCUGAAGCCUAAAUGCCUUCUCAGAGUCUAGUUGUUGGAGAGCUCAAACUACAACAGUUGGAUCUAGCUAUGCUUUCUUUUGGAGCAGGGGUCAGUAAACUUUUCUGUAAAGGGCCAGACAGUAAAUAUUGUAGGCCCUACAGUCCAACUCUGCCUUUAUAGCAUGAAAGCAGCCGUGGAUAAUAUGUGGAGGAGUGAGCAUGGCUAUGUUCCAAUAAAGCUUUAUUUACCAAAAUAAACACUCAGCUGGAUUUGGCCUUUGGGUAUAGUUUGCUAAAGAAUUACUGAUUACUGACAAUUACUAAUUAAUUUCAGAGAACUGGAGAAUUCCAGAUUAAUUUCUUCGUGCCUGAGAUUGCAUAAAUUACAAAGCAGCUCAUUAUUAUUCUCAUGAAUGCUGGAUAAAGCCAGUAAGACAUACUCCUACCAGAGCUAGUAGCGCACAGAUUCACGAUCUAAUGCUAGAAGGUGUCUUCUGCCCUGGGCAGAGUUUUUCCCUUUAGCCUGGUUCCUCAGCACCUUUGGCAUCCCCGUCCCAGGAUCCAUGGAGAUGGAGAAAGAGGACUCCCCAAGGGAAGAAUGAAGGAGGGAAGUGGCCAAGGCCCCUGCCAGGACCUUUGCGUGUGUUAUUUCACUCCAGCCUCACCACCUGUGUCACCCCCGUAUUACAGAGGAAGAAAUGGUCUCAGAGAAGGUAUGAGUGUGGUGGGAGCUCAGCACCAAACCCUAUCACCUUCCUUCUGUCAGGCAGCUGUCAUCACCCCCACAGGCCUUUUCUUCACAGCUUGUUGUCAGGAGGCUGGCCAACAUCUUGGGAAGGUGAGAGAGGAAAUUGGGAGGCUGGGGCUGGAGGGAAUCCUGCCACCAGCGUUCUCUCUUCCCCUAGGUCUGAUGGAAAUAACACUGCUCCGGCACCCGGAGACCUGGCUGUGGCCCAGCCUCAGCUGCACGUCAGCGGCAUGGCCCUGGAGACGACCCUGUGGGAGGCGACUGUCUGCUAUGGCGGAACCCCGGGACACCCCUUCCUCGGGGAGCCUUUCCUUUCUCCUCUGGUGGCGAGGCUGAUGCCUCCUCCCUGACUUGGUGAGGACCGAGUGAAGUGGGAUAUGUGCUGUGCCUUGGAAACCGUCAAAUACCACCUAAAGUCUAGUGUCUUCAGUGAACUUCAGCCCCAUCCUGUGGCCUCCAGUUGUGUGAUACUAUCAGAUGGCCCCUUGCUGCUGGAGUGGAUGUUCUUGGCAAUGAAAAGAAGAAGUGGGGGCAAAGGUGAAGUAUGGGGCCUAGAUGCUUCUAGCAGUUUAGAUGAUGACUUCUCAGGAACUUGUUGUUAACUGCUCUGCACCCCCUGCGUUGAUUAGAUUCUGGUUCUCUGGGGCCAGUUUCUUCAUGCUGUCUGGAGCCCCAGCUUCGCACCUGGCUGACUCACCUUUUGCACUGAGUUCAGCACUGGAGAUGGAGAGGGGGUGGGGAGGAGAGGAGAAAUUUUAGUGCUGUAUGAAUUCAGUUGGAAAAAUAAUCAUACAGGAUUUAAGCAAAUCUCAUAUUGCCCCUGGAAUGGUUUUAGGUUUUUUUAUAAAACCCAACCAGCGUCAGCUGAUGCCCCAUCUCUUCAAGGUCAAACAUUCCAAGAUUCUAGAGCAAAGCUGUGUUCCCAGAUUUGUCUAGAAGCCCUUUCUCCCCCCUCACCUUAACUGACGCCUGGAUGGUCCCCAUGAGGGAUUUCUUUUGCAGCCUCUCCCAAGCCUCCCAUUUGGAGAGUGGGGCUGCCCAGUUCCUUCUCUCCUGGUGUCACUUUGAGAUUACUGCUCAGAGGAACUUAUUCUUUUCUCAAGAGACUGUUUUCUUUUAAAGUUCACAAUGUUCAUUUUUUUCUUUGUUUGCUGCAAGGAGAACUCUGAUUCUGACUGAAAUUCUGCCAAUUAGAAAGAUUGUUUUCCAAUCGUCUUGAAAUUUUUCAGAGUUGCUCAAAGUGUUGGGAAAAUUGGAUGCCAGAAUUUGUAGAUCCCUGGCCAACCAAGAGACAUGGGCAGAAGGUGACCUGGUCUUCAGAGCUCUCACAAGAUCUCUGAGAGAGACUGGUAUGACAGUCCUUGGGGACCUUCCCCCUUUAUAAAUGCUGUGUUCAUUUUUUAAUAAGAUAUUUGACAUAUAUAAAAAUAAAAUAUAAUGUAUGUAAGGUGAAAAAAAUACUCCUGGACCACUCGCCCAACUUGAGAAAUAGAACGUUGCUGGAAUGAUGAAGCAGCCGCGGGCGCUCGCUGCUGGUUGUCCCCUCACCAAGAGGAACAUGUGUGUCUGUUGUUCUCUUGCCUGUCAUUGCAGUUUGAAAACGUGUUUAGUAAAAUGAAUAUAUUUGAUAAUUUUGUGUGCAUUUGAACUUUAUGUGAAUAGUAUCACACAGGGUAAUUUUUUGUGCCUUCUGUUUUUCAGGUUCAUCUGAAUUGAUGCCUUUAGCCAUAGUUAAUUCAUUUUUGCUGCUGAAUAGUAUUCCGUUAUAUGACUAUGCCACACUUUUUUUACCAUCCCCUGCCUGUGUGCAUUUGGCUAUUUCCCAUUAUGCUAUUGAUAGUAAUGCUGCUGUAAAUAUUCUUGGCCAUGUUUCCUGGGCACGUGGACGAGAUUUUCUCCUGGGUCACAGUAUUUCCUUUUACCAUUUUCUCUAUAUUCUCAUCUUCUCUGCUAGGAUUCUCUCCUUCUUCAGUGAUGUCAUUUCUGGUUAUUGUCCUCAGAGACUCUGCUGCACACACCGAUGGUAUAAACGUAAACAAGCCACAGUGCCUUUCUUUGGUCCGCUCCAGGGUGGCGGAAUAACUGAUCACAGCAGUCACGUUGUGACCCACUUGAAACCCCAGCGCUGGAUUCUUGGAGGUCAGCUCGCCUGUCGUGCCGUCUUCCCCUCUCUCCUGGUCACCACGGCUCCUCCCUGCCUAAAGUCUCUAUCUUUACUUAUUCUUUUCACAGCACCCCUGCUUUUGGGUCCCAGACAGUCUCCGCGUUCCAAGUCAGAUCUUUUCCCCGUCCUCAUGAUUCUAUCCCAUGGCCAAGUCCCUCAAUCUCCCCUUCACAUAUUUUCAUUUUCAGUCCAUAGUUUUUCUCUAAGCCCACCAAACUUGGUGGGGGUUCCCCAUGCCCCUCAAAUCCCCAACAUCUUUGAUUUUUUCUCUUAGACGACUAUCUCGCCUCUGCCUUUCCCUGAAGAACUUUGCUGCUUUUACCAACAUCUCUCAUCAUUUGACUUCUGCCCCAGCCUCUGUGGAAGAUGCCCUCUCAGAGCUCACCAGUGACCUCCCAAGGAUCAAGGCUGAAGGCUGUGUCAUUGUCCUUCCUCACCUGGCUGCACCCCUGCCGUCUGAAACUCCUUCUUUGGUUUGCACAGCAUGCCACUGCCCCGAUCGUCCUCCCGACCCGUUCCUCGUCUGCCUUAUACUUCUUGUCUGUGUACGUUCCUUAGGUUCUACCUCGGAGAAAUCAUCCAUUCCUUCCAUUUUAGCCAAGACACAACCAUCUAACCCAGGAAAUUAACAUUAGUACCAUUUAACUCUCAGACCCUGUUUGAAUUUUACUUAUUGUCUGAGUAACGUCUUUUACAGCAACAGGACCUAACCUAGGAUCAGUCAUGUCUCAGUCUCCUUCAGUCUGGAUUUGUUCCUCAGUCUUUCCUUGACUUCAUGAUCUUGAUGGUUUUGAAGACACAAGUCCAAUUAUUUUGUCAAAUGUCCCUCAGUUUUGGUUUACUGAUGUUUCCUCAUUAGAUUUAAGUUAUACAUCUUUGCUAGGAGUAUUCCAGAGGUGAUGCUGCUACAUCCUCAUUAGAUUUAAGUUAUACGUCUUUGCUAGGAGUAUUCCAGAAGUGAUGCUGCAUUCCUUUCAUUGCACUACUAAAAGGCGUAGGAUUCAAAUGUAUCCCAUUACUGAUGACAUUAAUUUUGAUCGCUGGAUUAAGAUUGUAUCUCUCAGCCUUUUCCACUGUGAAAUUACUUCUCUCCUCUUUGUAGGUAAUGAAGUAAUUAAUGAAUAUAUAUGGGAAGCUGCUUUGAGACUCUGUAAAUAUCCUGUUAAUCAUCAAACUUUCAAUUUACUCUUUAUUUAUGUCAGUAUGAACUCAUGAAUUGCUAUUUAUUCAAUGGAUUUUAAUCUAUUGUUAUUUAUUAUCAUCGUUUAUUUUGGUACUGAAUUGUCAAGCUGGCUUUAGAGUCCUUUUGACAUGUUCUGUCGUUCUUUGAAAACUGCCUUAUUUUCUGGCACAAAAAGUUGUUUCAGGCUCACCUUUUACUUUUUCUAUUCGGUCUUAGAAUUAGCCAUUUUUUUUUAAGGAAUGCGGUAUUCUUUUAGUGAAAAAUGGUAUUUAGAACCCAAAAUCUGGGUUCUUGAUGAGUUUACUGCUGUUGGGGUGUUAUUGCUCCCACCCUCUCUCAGAGGGAAGAGCUAGGGAAUACACACAUUUACAUCUCUAUUUCUCUCUAUAUUGAUAACUAUGAGUUCACAUUUAUAUCUCUAAUUCAAAUCCAUAGGGUUUACUCUAGUUUUCUCCCUUUCCAUUUUCGUAACUGUGAUGGUUAAUUUUAUGUGUCAGUCUGACUGGGCUACGGGGCCCCCAGAUACUUGGUUAAACAUUAUACCGGUGUGUCUGUGAGGGUGUUUCUGGAUGAGAUAAACAUUUGAAUUAAGUUUAGUAAAGCUGAUUGCCCUCCCCAGUGUGUGUGGGCCUCAUCCAACCCACUGAAGUCCUGAAUAGAACAAAAAGGCUGAGUAAGAACGAAUUCACUCUCUGCCUGACUGUCUUCGAGCUGGGACAUUGGUCUUCACCUGCCUUCGGACUUGGACUUGGACUUGGACUCAGGCUGACAGGUACACCAUUAGCUCUCCUAGUUCUCAGGCCUUUGGACUGGAGCUACACCAUUGGCUCUUCUGGGUCUCCAGUUUGCCAACAGCAGAUCUGGGGACUUCUCAGCCUCCAUAACCACGUGAGCCAAUUCCUUAUGAUAUAUCUCUUUAUAUCUGUAUUAUCUGUAUCUACAUCCACAUCUACAUCUAUAUCUAUAUUUACUUCUCCUGUUGGUUCUGUUUCUCUGGUGAAUCUAGACUAAUACAGCAUCCCAGUGAAAAGCCUGGGUUCUAUAAUUUUCAAUAUAUUUACCUGUUUGAUCAAUUGUCCUUUAUGUUAAUGAAUUCCCCUCAUUGCCACCACUCAACUCCUCCUUCAUGGAGAUCAUCCUUACCUCUCUGAGGCUCUGACAACGUGUGCUGUGUUGCCCUUUUGUACAGAUGGUCUCUUUGCCUAAGUUGGGCUCUGAGACCCCUCGGAGGGCCCAGGUCACCCUCUUAUGCUGACACCUGACACCCCUGGCUCAGGUUACUGUUCCUUCUCCCAUAGUGUGAAUGCCUACCUUCUCAACUCCACCAAUAGCUUUAGGACUGAAUUGUUCAGGAAGGAAAGGAAAGGGAAAGAAGAGAAGGGGAGGGGAGAGAAAUGGUAGUGAAGAGAAAGAAGAAGAGGAACAGGAAGAGGGACAUAAUUUUUCUUUCAAAAUCUAGUUCCUUCCUUCCAACUAUUUGCCAUUGGCACUGAUGCAUCCUACAGGCACUUUAAAAUCUACAUACCUAAAACUGCUCAUGUUUCCUUUCCGGUAAAACCUUUCUCUCUUCACUCUCCUAUGCUGCUGAUGGGAGUAUAAAUAGUUUAUUCUUUCUGGAGGACACUUUGGCAAUAUGGUUCAAAAGCCUUAAAAAAAAAAUCCUACGUUUCUUUUGACCUUGAAUUAUACUUUUAGGAAUUUAUACUAAAGAAAUAAUUAAAGAUGUACAGAGACAUUCAGAUUUAAGGAUGUUAAUUAUAGCUAAAAUUGGAAUUAUACAGAAUGUUUUGCAUCAGGGAGCAGAUAAAUUGGGAUAAACCCAUAAGUUAGGAUUCUAUGUCAUCAGUACAAUAAUGCUGAAUUACAAUCAUUGAUAUGGAAAGAUGUUCACUAUAUGAUAUUAAGUGAAAAAAACUGAUAAAAUGGAAUUAUCCCAAUUUAUUAUUAAAAUAUUAGAAAUAUAUAUGUAUAGGAGAAAAAACUUAGGAUGGUAUAUCAGAAGGGAAUUUUAAUAUUGAGAUUAUGGACUUUUUUUCACUCAAUAUUUUUAGUCUUUUCUUCACCAAAUACUUUUAUUUAUACAAAAAUCAAAAGCUAUGAAAAGAAAACUACAUAGGUCUUUGUGCUGAAUUUGCCAUUUCUGUAAAUGGUACAGCUGUUCUUGAAGUCUUCAGACUCUGAAUCAUCGCUGAUGUCUCCAUCUUAUCAGUCACAGAGUCCUCUAGAUACUCUUUUCACAAUAUUUCUUGGGGUGCCCCUUCCUUCUAUUUGCCUGCCACCGCUCCAGCUCAGACCUUGUCGUGUCAUACCUGGGCCAUUUCACAGGCUGCAUUGACGGAGCUCUCUACUCUACCCUGAUCCAGGCAGCCAGAUGAGUUUCCCUGAGGCAGUUCUUUCAUCACAUUGCUCCCUGCGCAGAAAUCUCUGGUGGUUCUUCUCUGCAUCUCCAAUAAAGGCUGGAUGCCUUAGCUCAGGCUUCCAUAACCUGGUCCCACCCAGUGUUGCAGUAAUCAUACUCAAACUCUAUGCUCCAGCAACAUUUUCCAGCUUUACUUUCUAUGAACAUAUAUUGCAUUUUCCUGCCUCUGUGGUUUGCUCAACUACUGGUCAUUCUGGAAUCACCUUUUCCCUCUACUUUUACUUCUGCUCAUUCUUUAGUGCCCGACUUAAAUGUCACCUCUUCUAUGGUCUCUCUCCCCAGGGGCCCCAUUGGAUGUAAUUUUCUCAUCUCUGAACAGUCUAGCAUUUUGUGUCACUCCCAUUUUAUACACCAUAUUCAGCACUCUAUUCUUUCUUCAGUUGGGCAAACUUUCUUCCCCUUGGGUAUAGUCAGUCCAUUCUAGAAUUUGAGCCUUCUUCCUUGGAAUUCCUUAUGCUUGGCUCAACCUUCCUAUCCAUUUUUAUGCCCCACUCUAUGUUACAGAAAACCCUAAAUUGAGAUCAUAAGACUUAGACUUGAUCUUCUUAAUCUUCUUCCUUGAAAUUGUCUGCUUCUCAAUUCACUAAAACAUGGUUUCUGCCCCUCUAAAUGCUAUCAAAAUUGACUGGCGAAGGUCAUCAUGAACCCCAUUUGCUAAAUCUAAUAAACUCAUGUGUGAGAGGGAGUGCAGUGCAGGAGGGCUGACUGACGCUGCAGCUGGAUGGACUAGGACUGGAGCCCAACUUCCCCUUUUACUGUCUCUAUCUUGUACGAGUUACCUGACUUCUUCAAGGACUAGUUUCCUCAUCUUUGAAGUGAGGAGGAAUAAUAGUGCCUUCUUACAAAGAUUGUUGUAAAAAUUAAAUGAGAUGAUGUUCAUAGAGUGUUUGCACAGUGUUGGACACCACGAAGUGCUCUGUAAAUAUUAGCUGCUGUAGUUAUUGCACCAUAAAGUCUAGGACCAUUGCACUGGCUCUGCCUACCCUUCUUCACCCUCAAUUCUUGUUGAAGCCCUUCCUUCCUGCCCAUCCCAUAUACUUUAUGCUUCAGUUAUGGAAGACUGCAUAUAGGCUCCCAAACACACUCACUCUGGCCCUUCUCUGAGUUUUUGUGCUUGCUCUUUCUUAGACCAAGAAUCUCCUUUACCCAUUCCUUAUUUGCCCAGUAGACUCCUAUUCAUCUUUUGAAACCUAAUUCAUAUGUCACCUUCUAGUAAAGCCCGCCCUCCUUUUCCCCAGUCAAGGAAUUUACUUUCUCCUCUAUGUAAUCUUUGUACCUUGCAUGUGUUUCCAUUGGUGCUCUUACCACAUUGCACUAUAACUUCUGUGUUUACACUGACAUCCCCCAGCUGUAAACUCCUUGACUCUGUUCUCUUUUCGGUUCCUACCACAGCGUGUGGCACAUACUAGACACUCAGCAAGAUUUGCUGAAUGAAGUGGAAGGAGGCAAAGCUGGGAAACGGCAGAGGCAGGACUCGAAGUCAGGACUUCUUACUCCUAGUCCCGUGUGCUCUCACUGACCUUCCCCCAAAGCCGCAAGCACAUUGAGUCAGUUGUGCAGGUUGUCAUCUACUGUCUCGUGGCCGUGGACUGACCCUGAGAGUGAGAUUUAUUGCCUGGUAUUAGAAAAGCUUUAGAUUCCAGCUCCUCUCAAAGGAGUUGUGCAAAGAAGGGACUAAAGGACGUCAGAAAACAGUGGGCAUGUGGAAGACUCUGAGGCUGAAGGCAGGAAUCUUCCAAGACCCCAUCAAAAGCAAAAUGAAAACUCUUUUUAAAAGCUCAGUAAAAAGAGAAAGACACUUAAAAAAUUGAUAUUAACGUGAUCUCCAGGCUGUGUUUAUUGAAACAAUCUUAGGUCCAUAAUCAAAACAAUGUUUUGUCAUUUCCCCUCCAGGCUGGUCACAAGCUACAAACUGGAUCAUUUGACACAUCUCUCGUGCACUUGAAACUCAAAUUGAAACUCUGCCAUUUUAACUGUACAAAGAAAAAUAACUUUUCAAAGCCCCACAUAUAUAUUUUUCUGAUUCAUCCUUUUGAUAUUUUACUUGGACCAAAACCCAAAUUCACUUGGUUUUCUCCAAGCACAUAUUUGGGCUACUUCCAUCAUUGUUCUUGGAAAUGGUUUUUCCUUUUGACAUACUGUAUGUUCAGUAUACAACCUGGUCAACACCAUCACAGGCCACAGCACUGACUCCCUCGUGGGCUGUCAGGAGCAUCUCAAAAAGAUUAUGUCUCCACUUAGGCUCAUCAGCUGCUUGUUUUGCAAUGUUCAGGAAAACACGUGUGUGUGUGUUUAUGUGUUUAUGUCAGCGUGAGUUUUGUGUCUGCUGGGGGAAAUGCUGGGUUAGCAUGUUUUUCAGAGUUUGAAGAAUUUCUGUGGCUUAUUUGCUGAUAUGAAUAAAAGUCAGAACAUGUUUUGGAAAGACAUGUGUAUAUGUUUUCAUUUAUUGGAGGGAGUAUCUUAAGUAUAGGAGACUUACCGUGGGGAGACAUUGUGUCUCCUGGGUGAUGUAAGCAGUGGAUAUUUAGUAGGAGAAAAUGGAAAGCUCAUCAAAGCUGGGCAAAUUUUCACCUUAUUGUCUGAGAGGAGGAAGAGUCAGCUUGUUCCAUUGUUGUGGGGUUUGACCAUGGUGGCUUCCAGGAACUGGG
Equus asinus (donkey) is the source of this 11000-nucleotide long non-coding RNA. The record is from Ensembl. Lineage: Eukaryota; Metazoa; Chordata; Mammalia; Perissodactyla; Equidae.